CAUGUGCUUUUAAGAUCCGGUUGCGAUUCUAGUUCUUAUACUCAAUCAUACACAUGACAUCUAGUCAUAUUUGA
RNAcentral lists this small RNA (74 nucleotides) under Arabidopsis thaliana (thale cress). Its description in RNAcentral is "ATSL034160". The record is from RNAcentral. Lineage: Eukaryota; Viridiplantae; Streptophyta; Magnoliopsida; Brassicales; Brassicaceae.